RNAcentral lists this ribosomal RNA (329 nucleotides) under uncultured eukaryote. RNAcentral's name for it is "partial 18S ribosomal RNA". It matches the Rfam family "Eukaryotic small subunit ribosomal RNA", at positions 1470 to 1796 of the family's 1831-position model. The record is from RNAcentral.
CCCUUAGAUGUUCUGGGCCGCACGCGCGCUACACUGACGAUGGCAACGAGUUUUUCCUUCGCCGAAAGGUGUGGGUAAUCUUUUGAAACAUCGUCGUGCUGGGGAUAGAUCAUUGCAAUUUUUGAUCUUGAACGAGGAAUUUCUAGUAAGCGCGAGUCAUCAGCUCGCGUUGAUUACGUCCCUGCCCUUUGUACACACCGCCCGUCGCUACUACCGAUUGAAUGGUUUAGUGAGGACUCCUGAUUGGCGCCGCCGCCCCGGCAACGGAGCAGCGGACUGCCGAAAAGUUGUUCAAACUUGAUCAUUUAGAGGAAGUAAAAGUCGUAACA